GAUCCAACUUUUUGUCCUAAUCUUCAGUUUCUGUGGGAAGGGAAAAGUUUGGUUAAUGAAUGGACCAAAGGGGGAGCAUGCCCGGGCUCUGGGUGGCAGCAGAGUUCCAGGGGGCCGACACACUGGCCCCAAGAGGGCAGAAGGCCAGUCAGUGGGCCACGCGGUAUCUUCCCACAGCCCCUCCAAUCUUCAAGGAGUUUACUAAGCUCAAAAGUGGAACCUUUGGAAUGGGGGCAGGUUCCAUCUACUGAGGCUGAUGUGAUGUGGAAUCAGGAUCAGCCCCGUCUCAGAACGCGCUCUGUAAUGACUGGAAAGACAGAAAAAACCAACUCUUCCUUUUCAAAAGUGAGCUGGAAACACCUGAUUUUGGUCGCCUUGCUGGGCCUGCUUCUUUGCGGGAGGCUCGUCAUGUGUGGAACUCAAAGCGAUGCUGCCAUCUGCUGUAGAAGUGGAGGAUUUCCCCCUCUCUUUCCUAAACAAUUUAACAGUUGUAGAAAUAAAGGAGA
RNAcentral lists this long non-coding RNA (506 nucleotides) under Canis lupus familiaris (dog). RNAcentral describes it as "lncRNA (ENSCAFG00040014900.1)". Lineage: Eukaryota; Metazoa; Chordata; Mammalia; Carnivora; Canidae. The record is from RNAcentral.